CAUGGUAAUCAGACUAGUUGAAUAAAGCAAACAGAAAAAGAUUUCAGGAACAUUUCCUCAUUACUUUUCAUGAAAAAUCCAUGAAAGCUCACCGUGAAGUUUGUUUUAGUCAGGUUGAGACCAUUACAAAUGUCCGAAGAAGAAAACCAUUAGUGGAAGAACUAAAAGACAGUAGGUUAACAACCGUAUUUAUGUGGAACAACAGAAUCUAUCCAAAUGAAUUGCAUUGAACCAGCCAAUAUACUCCAAGAAACUGAUCCAGUGACCCACGCUCUGAAGUCAGAAUUAGCUAACUUUCAAAAACAUCUGGAAAAAAUGAAGACAUGGUUAAAAAUUGUACUUGGAGUUGCCACUUCUGCUGUGCUUGCCUUAUUGGUGAUGUGCAUUGUCUUACGUCCUUCAAGAGUUCGUAACUCUGACGGAAGUACAACAAGAGCACUCACACUGAAGGAUAUUUUAAAUGGGACAUUUUCUUAUAAAACAUUUUUUCCAAACUGGAUUUCAGGACAAGAAUAUCUUCGUCAAUCUACAGAUAAUAAUAUAAUAUUUUAUAAUAUUGAAACAAGAGAAUCAUAUACUAUUUUGAGUAAUACCACCAUGAAAAGUGUGAAUGCUUCAAAUUAUGGUUUAUCACCUGAUCGGCAAUUUGCAUAUCUAGAAAGUGAUUAUUCAAAGCUUUGGAGAUACUCUUACACAGCAACGUAUCACAUCUACCACCUUACAAAUGGAGAGUUUAUAAGAAGAAAUGAGCUUCCUCGUCCAAUUCAGUAUUUAUGCUGGUCGCCUGUUGGGAGUAAAUUAGCAUAUGUCUAUCAAAACAAUAUCUAUCUGAAACAAAGACCAGAAGAUCCACCUUUUCAAAUAACAUAUAAUGGAAAAGAAAAUAAAAUAUUUAAUGGAAUCCCAGACUGGGUUUAUGAAGAGGAAAUGCUUGCUACAAAAUAUGCUCUCUGGUGGUCUCCUAAUGCAAAAUUUUUGGCAUAUGCAGAAUUUAAUGAUACAGAGAUACCAGUUAUUGCCUAUUCCUAUUAUGGCGAUGAACAAUAUCCUAGAACAAUAAAUAUUCCAUACCCAAAGGCUGGAGCUAAGAAUCCCAUUGUUCAGAUCUUUAUUGUUGAUGCCAUUUACCCUGAGCAUGUAGGUCCCAGAGAAGUGCCAGUUCCAGCAAUGAUAGCCUCAAGUGAUUAUUAUUUCAGUUGGCUUACAUGGGUUACUGAUGAGCGAAUAUGUUUGCAGUGGCUGAAAAGAAUCCAGAAUGUUUCAGUCUUAUCUAUAUGUGAUUUCAGGGAAGACUGGAAGACAUGGAGCUGUCCAAAGACCCAGGAACAUAUAGAAGAAAGCAGAACUGGAUGGGCUGGUGGAUUCUUUGUUUCAACACCAGUUUUCAGCUAUGAUGCCAUUUCAUACUACAAAAUAUUUAGCGACAAGAAUGGCUACAAACAUAUUCACUAUAUCAAAGACACUGUGGAAAAUGCUAUUCAAAUUACAAGUGGCAAGUGGGAGGCCAUAAAUAUAUUCAGAGUAACACAGGAUUCACUGUUUUAUUCUAGCAAUGAAUUUGAAGGCUACCCUGGAAGACGAAAUAUCUAUAGAAUUAGCAUUGGAAGCUAUCCUCCAAGCAAGAAGUGCAUUACUUGCCAUCUAAGGAGAAAAAGGUGCCAAUAUUACACAGCAAGUUUCAGCGACAAUGCCAAGUACUAUGCACUCGUCUGCUAUGGCCCAGGCCUCCCGAUUUCCACCCUUCAUGACGGCCACACUGAUCAAGAAAUUAAAAUCCUGGAAGAAAACAAGGAAUUGGAAAAUGCUUUGAAAAAUAUCCAGCUGCCUAAAGAGGAAAUUAAGAAACUUGAAGUGGAUGAUAUUACUUUAUGGUACAAGAUGAUUCUUCCUCCUCAGUUUGACAGAUCAAAGAAGUAUCCCUUGCUAAUUCAAGUGUAUGGUGGUCCCUGCAGUCAGAGUGUAAGGUCUGUAUUCUCUAUUAGUUGGAUAUCUUAUCUUGCAAGUAAGGAAGGGAUAGUCAUUGCCUUGGUGGAUGGUCGAGGAACAGCUUUCCAAGGUGACAAACUUCUGUAUGCAGUGUAUCGAAAGCUGGGUGUUUAUGAAGUUGAGGACCAGAUCACAGCUGUCAGAGAAAGGAAGAUGGACCAGAGGCAGCAAUUGGCUACGUUUACCUUCUCUGAGCCAUUUUUAGGAUGGAACCUGAAGAAUGUCUUUCUACUAUAGAUCAGGCAUAUGUUCACCCAUUGACUCAGCCAUUCAAGAACAGAUGAAAUAUUAGUAUAUGCUAUAACAAUACUCUGUAUAAAAUUGUGCAAUUUACAAUCUUAACAUUCAGUGUACUUACAGUUUUUGAAGAGUGAAUAAACCACAUGCACUCAAGGGAACACGGCUAUUAGAUGGAACUUUUUGUAUUCACCUUAGUGAACAGGGGCAGCUGUACGGCAAAGCACAUAUACAACAGUGGAGAUGCCAGUUGGGACUGGCCUUGGCUUUGCUUGAAACCAUUAUUCUGCAAAAGGGAAAGGGAAGCCUUGAAACCCUAUGCUUUGAGAAAACAAAAGCUAAAAGAAUAGACUUAUAGAGAUAAUUCUAGAAAUAAUUCAAUCACAUAUCUUCCUGUGAAGUGUUUUAGGAAUCAGACACUGAAUGUCUGACUUGAGGAAUUGGGAUUGUAAUUCCUCUAUGGUAGUCCUCAAUUACCUCCCCUCAAAGAAUGAAAUAUUUCCCUGGAAUCUAAAUAUUUCCCUGGAAUCUCUUAUGGAAUGCAAUCUGGCUAAAUUUUUUAUAUACCAAAAAAAAUCAUAAGUACAUAUUUGGAAACAACAGUAAAUACUAGUCAGGUUCAAGAAACAGACUUAAGCAGAACAAAGCAGGAAAAAAAGAGAAGCCCUACAACCGCACAAAUUUUGACUAUACAUAAGAGAAAGCCCCAAAGGAUAUGCUUGUGAGGUCAAAGCUUAAGUAAAACUGAGACCUGCUUUCUUCAGGCUCCUCUGCAAGUGGUUCAUAGGUGAGACCCUUAAAAUUUCAGUUAUAGGAUCAAAUCUGCUCAUUUGGGGUAGGUUUGGAAUUUUUGACAUUCCCACAAUUUUGAAAUUUUAUAUAACUUCAGGGUUAGCAGUAAAGAAGGAUUAUAUGAGAAAAAAAUAUAUCAUACUGUUAUACAUGGUAUCAAUUAGAACAUUUCCAAAACAGAAUAAUAGUAAUUGAUUACUAAGGUUUCGAACUGACCUUAGAUUUAGGGCAUUUUUAUGAGAGAAAAGUUGUAAAGUCCAGUCCAGCCUCCAAAAUUAGAAAAAAUGCUUUUUCACUUGCUAUUAACAUUUUGUUGAUUUAACCACGUUGUCAACAGUAUCUUUGAUAACCCUCCUGGAAGCUCUUCAGAAUUUGGAGGUAAAUUUUAUAGAGGCCGUUGGUCUCAGAUUAUCGAGCUAACCUUUAACCUAGUCUUUCCACAGUAAGUGUUAAUGUUUCAUUUCCAUGUUAACUAUUGCACUAUCAUUUCCUGUAAAUGUCAUCCUUUCGGAAUAAACCUAGGAAGGGAGCUGUUAAGAAUUUCCUGUUCCCAUGUAUCACCUGUUAUUUGCUUUUACCCCAGAUGCAAGGCAAUAUGAUUGCUAGCUUCUGGGAGAUCAUAAAAUCACGAUUGAUUUUAUGGCUCAGAACUGGCUUCAAGCACUAGCGGCAAGAUUAUUUUUUUGGACAAAGAAAGUGAACCUUCUUUUCUUUCACUUGGCUUUUGAGUUUGUGGGAGAAUUGCCGAAAUGCCACAGUUUGCUGCCCGUUUUCUCUAGUUUACUGUGACCAAGCAGCAGCACAGGUAGCAACUCUCCGUUUGCUACUGCGUUUCUCCCCUGUACACUCCUCAGUGUCCCUCAGAAUCAGUGUCGAGUAAGCUGUGACUGACGGGGCUUCUUCCCAUCUGUCUGUGCCGGGCAUCUGCCCAACUCCUCUAUGCAUCAGAAACAUGCAUUUUGAAUCCAUGCAACGAGCAAAAUGGUUGCUGUGAAAUCCCUUUAAGAAAUUCCAUUAUUUAACUAAUGCAAAUCACUCGGUCCUUGUUCCAGAGAAGAAUGAGGAAGGGCAUUAACGUCACUUAAGGCAACCAAAAAAAAUAGUAUUUUUCUGGGGUCAUGAGUGUCACUUUUGUCUCUUCCCCUCUUUUCCUUCACUGUCCCAUCCAGGACUCUAUAACGGCUCAUCGACUUUGCUUUUUUCUUCCACUGCUUCUGCUUCUCUAAGAGUUUCUUGAGUUUUUAUUAAAACGUUCCCCAAAUAAAUCACAAUUGCUCUAGAACACCAACCAUCAAGGAAGCAUGGAAUAAAUUAGCCUAAAACACUCCCUUUUUGUACCAAUGACGUAGUUAGAUUUCUGAGGGCUUCCCAGGACUUUUUGAAGGUUGUCUUUCAGCAUGGUCCAUUUCUCCUAAGGAUAGAUUUAUUUUCAAACUCAUUUUUAAAUGGAGCCUCUUCUGUGAGGGAAAUUGAAUGAAUAAUGUUCAUAUCCUGAAAGAUGCAUACAAUUGUUCAAACCAUGAUGAACUGAGGGUACCUAAGUGUGAAAUGGGAGAGGGAUGGAUAUUUUUCCAUGGAUGGAUGUGACCAAAAAUGAGACAGUGAUUAUAAUGCAUGUCAACCUAAAUAAAAGGCUAAAACAAGGCAAGCUCAAAAUUGUCAAAAAAUGAGUUUAUUCAGGAAUAGCAGAGGAAUUGAAAUUCUGGACUCACAGACUGUAGCAAGCUAUAGGCCCAUCCAUUGAGGGUUUGGGGAAGGCUGUAUUUAUAGGGAGGGAAUGAAAGAGGGGAGAGUUCAGUGAGAGUCUAUUAAAAUCGAAACAAACAGAGACCAGCUUUGACUACUCCCUGGGCAGACAAAACCAAUCCCAUCCUACAAACAAAGCUCAAUUCAGCAUAUUUUGAGAAACCAACCCAACUUGGGUCAUUUCUUGUUCACGCCUCUGGAAACCAUAAGCAAAACUUCCCAAGGUUGAUAUGAGGCAACCCCUGACCAACUCCUUAUCAUUUAAGAAAAUUUCAAUAUGACCAGUUUUAUGGAAAUCAGGCAUAUAUGGAAAUCAGUCUCUCAGUCCUGAGGGCACUUGUGUGCGAUUUUUCAUUUAUAUUCUUCAGUCCCACUUUAGGUUGAAAUUCUUUUACAUUAACAUCUAAGCAAACAAAAUCAUAAGAAAUUAAUAAAUUUUAAAACAGCAAUAAUGAAACCCUUUUUUCCAAAAGCUGGAGAUUUGGAAAUUUUGUCCUAGUCAUGGUGCUAUUACUUCUGGUGUUACUAUGAGCCAGUCUCUCUUUUUUUUUCUUUACAAUAUCUUAAGUGCAUUUAAUAGUAAACUCAAAAACAUGUGGCUAUAGUGUUAGGACCUGAGUUAACCAUUUGCCUGUUCACUGCAUUAAAAAACAUUUUCCCCUUUCAGUCUAUUCUCAUUUGCUGAAUAUGAGCCUGUCUCUUAACCUGAGUCCCAAGUAACUCACCAGCACAGUUAGGGUAGGAGGCCUUACAGACCUGAAAGUAUUACUCAAUAGAUGUACCAUAGAGUCUAAAGGAUCCUUUUAUCCCUUGCAGUAAGCAUGAUAAUAUUCUUUUAACUAUUUGUAAAUGCAGCCUUAUUAUGCAAGUGUUUAAACAAAGAAAAUGUAGCGUUUCUAUUAAAUCAUUGGAUUAAAUAUGCUUGUGUAAUGAAGUAAAUGUCAUGUGUACGCACUUAAAAUUCUAAAAAUUUGUUUCUUUUACUUUAGAAAAUUCAUAGAAAUGGGUUUCAUUGAUGAAAAAAGAAUAGCCAUAUGGGGCUGGUCCUAUGGAGGUUAUGUUUCAUCGCUGGCCCUUGCUUCAGGAAGUGGUCUUUUCAAAUGUGGAAUAGCAGUGGCUCCAGUCUCCAGCUGGGAAU
This is an RNA transcript of Physeter macrocephalus (sperm whale), 5899 nucleotides long. It is a transcript of the gene named fibroblast activation protein alpha, with no coding region annotated. The record is from RefSeq and is a predicted model, not a curated record. NCBI's taxonomy places the organism in Eukaryota, Metazoa, Chordata, Mammalia, Artiodactyla, Physeteridae. The transcript has 23 exons.